This 490-nucleotide ribosomal RNA is filed under the name uncultured bacterium. RNAcentral describes it as "partial 16S ribosomal RNA". It matches the Rfam family "Bacterial small subunit ribosomal RNA", at positions 30 to 507 of the family's 1533-position model. The record is from RNAcentral.
AUUGAACGCUGGCGGCAGGCCUAACACAUGCAAGUCGAACGGUAACAGGAAGAAGCUUGCUUCUUUGCUGACGAGUGGCGGACGGGUGAGUAAUGUCUGGGAAACUGCCUGAUGGAGGGGGAUAACUACUGGAAACGGUAGCUAAUACCGCAUAACGUCGCAAGACCAAAGAGGGGGACCUUCGGGCCUCUUGCCAUCGGAUGUGCCCAGAUGGGAUUAGCUAGUAGGUGGGGUAACGGCUCACCUAGGCGACGAUCCCUAGCUGGUCUGAGAGGAUGACCAGCCACACUGGAACUGAGACACGGUCCAGACUCCUACGGGAGGCAGCAGUGGGGAAUAUUGCACAAUGGGCGCAAGCCUGAUGCAGCCAUGCCGCGUGUAUGAAGAGGGCCUUCGGGUUGUAAAGUACUUUCAGCGGGGAGGAAGGGAGUAAAGUUAAUACCUUUGCCCAUUGACGUUACCCGCAGAAGAAGCACCGGCUAACUCCGUG